Molecule: unclassified non-coding RNA, 347 nt
Filed under: soil metagenome
Description: partial contains 5.8S ribosomal RNA, internal transcribed spacer 2, and large subunit ribosomal RNA
Rfam family: 5.8S ribosomal RNA (bases 1-120)
Source: RNAcentral
GAUGAAGAACGCAGCGAAAUGCGAUAAGUAAUGUGAAUUGCAGAAUUCAGUGAAUCAUCGAAUCUUUGAACGUACAUUGCGCCCCCUGGUAUUCCGGGGGGCAUGCCUGUCCGAGCGUCAUUGCUGCCCUCAAGCACGGCUUGUGUGUUGGGCCCCGUCCUCCGAUCCCGGGGGACGGGCCCGAAAGGCAGCGGCGGCACCGCGUCCGGUCCUCGAGCGUAUGGGGCUUUGUCACCCGCUCUGUAGGCCCGGCCGGCGCUUGCCGAUCAACCCAAAUUUUUUAUCCAGGUUGACCUCGGAUCAGGUAGGGAUACCCGCUGAACUUAAGCAUAUCAAUAAGCGGAGGA